This is a long non-coding RNA of Pipistrellus kuhlii (Kuhl's pipistrelle), 686 nucleotides long. RefSeq lists it as uncharacterized. The transcript is spliced from 2 exons. The record is from RefSeq and is a predicted model, not a curated record. Lineage: Eukaryota; Metazoa; Chordata; Mammalia; Chiroptera; Vespertilionidae.
UUUUACUCUUUAAAGAAGUCUGUUUAUUGAAAGGGUCUGAAAAUAGUAAUAAGGCUUUCAACAACAUUUAAUAACAUUUCAGGAUAUUAACAAUAUGAAACAUUAAGAAUUUACUUGAAAAACCCAUAGCUUUCUAGACCAUCCCAUCAUGCUGCUUCAGGGCAGGGGUGUUCGGGUUUGGCUCCCUCUCAGCCCGCAGACCAGCCCCCAGGUGGGUGUACAGGUGGCAGUGAGAGCCCACCUCUGUGUCCAACAUCAGGCCGAGUGCCCAGCACCACUGAGGUCCAGAUGCUGAGGUGCCUCAGCAGGGACAAGAGUGGGCACAGCACUCAAGCAACACACGUCCACACAGACACGGAGGGCAGAGCAGGUGCCCAGGUUGCAGACCAGCCAGAGAAACCCGACUGAGUUGGCCAUGCUUGUGGCUCUGGACACCUCAUUAGCACAAGAUUGGGGUGUGCGUCCCUGCAGUGGAAGGACACUGCCCACCAUGGCCCCAACGUGAGGCCCAGGGUGGUGUUGAGCCCUUCCCUUCUCCCGAGGGGAGCCGAUGGAAACCCCUCAGAGAGAAAUCCGUUCCUCACAACAGGCUCUACUGAGGCUGUCUGCUGGGUAAGGGCCAAGGACACAUGCAAACCGAGCCGAGGCUCCAACCAUGGACUCCACAGGUCUGGGUCCCACAUGGC